RNAcentral lists this ribosomal RNA (453 nucleotides) under Colocasiomyia longifilamentata. Its description in RNAcentral is "partial 28S ribosomal RNA". It matches the Rfam family "Eukaryotic large subunit ribosomal RNA", at positions 1508 to 1897 of the family's 3401-position model. The record is from RNAcentral. Lineage: Eukaryota; Metazoa; Arthropoda; Insecta; Diptera; Drosophilidae.
UUCGUGUGAACAGUGGUUGAUCACGAGUUAGUCGGUCCUAAGUUCAAGGCGAAAGCUGAAAAUUUUCAAGUAAAUAAAAUAAUAAUAAUAAUAAAUUUAUACACUUGAAUAAUUUUGAACGAAAGGGAAUACGGUUCCAAUUCCGUAACCUGUUGAGUAUCCGUUUGUUAUUAAAUAUGGGCCUUGUGCUCAUCCUGGCAACAGGAACGACCAUAAAGAAGCCGUCGAGAGAUAUCGGAAGAGUUUUCUUUUCUGUUUUAUAGCCGUACUACCAUGGAAGUCUUUCGCAGAGAGAUAUGGUAGAUGGGCUAGAAGAGCAUGACAUAUACUGUUGUGUCGAUAUUUUCUCCUCGGACCUUGAAAAUUUAUGGUGGGGAUACGCAAACUUCUCAACAGGCCGUACCAAUAUCCGCAGCUGGUCUCCAAGGUGAAGAGUCUCUAGUCGAUAGAAUA